UACGUAGGGUGCGAGCGUUAAUCGGAAUUACUGGGCGUAAAGCGUGCGCAGGCGGUUUUGUAAGCCAGAUGUUAAAGCCCCGGGCUCAACCUGGGAAUGGCAUUUGGGACUGCAAGGCUUGAGUGCGGCAGAGGAGACUGGAAUUCCUGGUGUAGCAGUGAAAUGCGUAGAUAUCAGGAGGAAUACCGAUGGCGAAGGCAGGUCUCUGGGCUGACACUGACGCUCAUGCACGAAAGCGUGGGGAGCAAACAGG
This 253-nucleotide ribosomal RNA is filed under the name uncultured bacterium. RNAcentral describes it as "partial 16S ribosomal RNA". It matches the Rfam family "Bacterial small subunit ribosomal RNA", at positions 524 to 776 of the family's 1533-position model. The record is from RNAcentral.